Molecule: transfer RNA, 59 nt
Filed under: Apaloderma vittatum (bar-tailed trogon)
Lineage: Eukaryota; Metazoa; Chordata; Aves; Trogoniformes; Trogonidae
Rfam family: tRNA
About the family: Transfer RNA (tRNA) molecules are approximately 80 nucleotides in length. Their secondary structure includes four short double-helical elements and three loops (D, anti-codon, and T loops). Further hydrogen bonds mediate the characteristic L-shaped molecular structure. tRNAs have two regions of fundamental functional importance: the anti-codon, which is responsible for specific mRNA codon recognition, and the 3' end, to which the tRNAs corresponding amino acid is attached (by aminoacyl-tRNA synthetases). tRNAs cope with the degeneracy of the genetic code in two manners: having more than one tRNA (with a specific anti-codon) for a particular amino acid; and 'wobble' base-pairing, i.e. permitting non-standard base-pairing at the 3rd anti-codon position.
Source: Rfam by way of RNAcentral
UAGCUCAGUUGGUUAGAGAGUGAUGCUGAUAACGCCAAGGUCACAGGUUCAAUCCCUGU